UCUCCCAUAGCUUAGUUGGUAGAGCGCAAUGCUUAUAUGACGACAUUCACCCCCCGUGGGUGAAGUCGGUAUACUGUGGUAGCACACCCCUCUCUGAGGUUACGUUGAUGUCAGGGGUUCGAGCCCCCUUGGGAGAA
RNAcentral lists this transfer RNA (137 nucleotides) under Puccinia graminis f. sp. tritici. Its description in RNAcentral is "tRNA-Ile". It matches the Rfam family "tRNA". From Rfam's summary of the family: Transfer RNA (tRNA) molecules are approximately 80 nucleotides in length. Lineage: Eukaryota; Fungi; Basidiomycota; Pucciniomycetes; Pucciniales; Pucciniaceae. The record is from RNAcentral. RNAcentral also lists the same sequence under 1 other name.